UCAAACUUGGUCAUUUAGAGGAAGUAAAAGUCGUAACAAGGUCUCCGUUGGUGAACCAGCGGAGGGAUCAUUACCGAGUCUCGAACUCACCAAACCCCUGUGAACAUACCAGUGUUGCUUCGGCGGUAGACCCCUCCGCCCCCCCUUCCCGGGGGAGGCGCGGGGUUCCGCCAGAGGACCCUACAAACCCUCUGUUUUCUUAGAAAGGAUUCCGCUCUGAGUAACAAAAUGAAAACCAUUAAAACUUUCAACAACGGAUCUCUUGGCUCUGGCAUCGAUGAAGAACGCAGC
This 291-nucleotide unclassified non-coding RNA is filed under the name uncultured fungus. RNAcentral describes it as "partial contains small subunit ribosomal RNA, internal transcribed spacer 1, and 5.8S ribosomal RNA". The stretch from base 1 to 73 matches the Rfam family "Eukaryotic small subunit ribosomal RNA", at positions 1759 to 1831 of the family's 1831-position model. Lineage: Eukaryota; Fungi. The record is from RNAcentral.